This is a long non-coding RNA of Chroicocephalus ridibundus (black-headed gull), 1123 nucleotides long. RefSeq lists it as uncharacterized. The transcript is spliced from 4 exons. The record is from RefSeq and is a predicted model, not a curated record. Lineage: Eukaryota; Metazoa; Chordata; Aves; Charadriiformes; Laridae.
UUCACUGCUGCCUUUUCAUUCGCGUUAAUUCACUGCGUUUCCUUUCUUGCUCCUUGCGAGGAACAGAGGGAGAGCUUGUUCCAGCAGACGGGCCCCAUCCGCUCCACCCGGCUCUGCUGGAGCAAGGGCUGGAAAAGAGGGAUGGAGGCGAAGGGGUAUCUCCCACCCCUCCGGGGCCCCUGCGUGCUGCCUGCGUGCUGCUUCCCAGCAAAUACGAUGGAGAAUAAAAGCAAAGUCUUCGCCACGGCGGUGUGCUUACCACUUCCACCACAGGCUGCGCCCGCCCGGAGGACAAGGAGCUGCGUGCAGGUCUGCUCCUUAGCAGCGGAGCGCGGUGUUGCCGUAGCACCAACAGUGUUCUGAAUUCAGGUGCAGACUGUUCUGCGCCGGGCGCCGUGGAAGCCUACAAAUAAAUACGGUCGCUGCGCUGGAGCUUGCAGCACCGGCUGACCGGGAUUGACUGGGUGUGGAUCCAACCCAAAGCUCUUCCCCAGGCGGGGAAGGCAGCCCUGCGAGCCCUGCAUCCCGCCGUCCCGGGGCUCGGCAGCGGGGGCUGCGGGCUGACAGCUGACGUCCUCCCCGGGGCCCGUUUCCUCCGGCUGCUGCCAAACCCUUCGCCGAGCGCGUCUCGAAAUGAAUUUUCUGGAAAACAAAUUAAAGGAGGGUUUGCGUCGCGCAGCAGACAGCCCGACCCGCGCUGACGAAUCCUGCCUGUGUUUCGGGCUGCGCCGCACGCACCACGUUGCUCAAAGCUGCUGCCGCUGCUGCUGCGCUGGAGUUUGCGGCUCGUCACCUAAAUAUACUGCAACGGAGCCUGAGCACUUCUUCCCCCGGGUCCGGCAUCGCCCCUCCGUUCGGAGGGUGCUCCUGCGGCUCUCAGAGCCGAAGCCCCUCACGUCAGCAGCAUCGCCUCAAAAGCUGAACGUGCCUGUGAAAGCGAUCAGAGAUGCUCUUUGAAGAGCCCGCAGAAUUUUUCAUUGCAGAUUCCCAGCUGCAUUUUCCUGCUAACCUUGCAUUCCUGAGGAUGCAAAGUGAGACGGGAACGUAUGUACGGCGAACGUGUUACCCAUCGCACCGGCUACUCCCAUAGCCAGGAAAAUAUUUCCUGCAAGUUUCCUCCCUG